RNAcentral lists this ribosomal RNA (629 nucleotides) under uncultured Bacilli bacterium. Its description in RNAcentral is "bacterial SSU rRNA". It matches the Rfam family "Bacterial small subunit ribosomal RNA", at positions 137 to 754 of the family's 1533-position model. The record is from RNAcentral. Lineage: Bacteria; Bacillati; Bacillota; Bacilli.
CGGGGGAUAACUAUUGGAAACGAUAGCUAAUACCGCAUAACAAUGGAUGACACAUGUCAUUUAUUUGAAAGGGGCAAUUGCUCCACUACAAGAUGGACCUGCGUUGUAUUAGCUAGUAGGUGAGGUAACGGCUCACCUAGGCGACGAUACAUAGCCGACCUGAGAGGGUGAUCGGCCACACUGGGACUGAGACACGGCCCAGACUCCUACGGGAGGCAGCAGUAGGGAAUCUUCGGCAAUGGGGGCAACCCUGACCGAGCAACGCCGCGUGAGUGAAGAAGGUUUUCGGAUCGUAAAGCUCUGUUGUAAGUCAAGAACGAGUGUGAGAGUGGAAAGUUCACACUGUGACGGUAGCUUACCAGAAAGGGACGGCUAACUACGUGCCAGCAGCCGCGGUAAUACGUAGGUCCCGAGCGUUGUCCGGAUUUAUUGGGCGUAAAGCGAGCGCAGGCGGUUUGAUAAGUCUGAAGUUAAAGGCUGUGGCUCAACCAUAGUUCGCUUUGGAAACUGUCAAACUUGAGUGCAGAAGGGGAGAGUGGAAUUCCAUGUGUAGCGGUGAAAUGCGUAGAUAUAUGGAGGAACACCGGUGGCGAAAGCGGCUCUCUGGUCUGUAACUGACGCUGAGGCUC